UAAGGAGUGGCUCAUGUGACCAGAGAGGCUGAGAAGUCCCAAGACCUGUAGCUGGCGAGCUGGACUCAGGACGCCUGACAGUCAGCUCCGUCCUGAGAAACGCAGGCUUGAAACCCUGCAAGAGGUGAGAGCUAACGUUUCAGCUGAGUCUGAAGGCAAGAAGAGACCAUGUCCCAGAUGAAGCAGUCGGGCAGGAGGAGUCCUCUCACUCGUGGUAGGGCCAACUUUUUGUUCUAUUCAGUCCUCUGAUUGGGCGAGGCCCACCCACAUUUUGGAGGGCAAACUGCUUUACCUAGUCCCCCACUGUGAAUGUUAAUCUCCCUCAGAAACACCUUUACAGAUGCACCCAGAACAAUGUUGGACCAAAUGUUGCGCAUCAUGGCCCAGCCAAGCUGAAACAUGAAACUAACCACCAAACCAACAGAACUGUGAAAAUGCCCUGGUCCUGGGUACCAGCACUUGUCUGUGAGCACGUCCUGUGUGAAGAGGGUAGAAGCUGAGUUUCAGAGGAGGGGUGUGCAAAGUGGGGGCUGGGGCCAGAAAUCGGGCAGCAGGCCUCUCACAGAAUCUCUGCCGGUGACCCUCGGUUUCAGUACAUUUUGCUAAACCUAAAAAAUACUUAGUGGAGGUGCAUAUUUGUAGGUUAAGGGAGUGCGAGGUGAGUUUUGCAGCCUGGGUGAGAUUUUUAACCUCUCUGAAAGUGGUCAUUUAGUUUUCAGUGGUUAUGAAGCAUAAAGCUUUCAUAUGACAUGAAUAUAGUUCUCAAACUUGACUGCGCAUCAGAAAGCCUUGGGCCAGGGACGUCUUGUAACAGAUGACUGGGACCAUCCGGAGCUCCUGGUAGUUCUAACAACGUCCCAGGUGAUGCUGUUGCUCUGGUCUAGACAGCAUACUUUGAGAAGCUAUAUUUUAUGUGUUGAAAACAGAUUUCCAAUGCAAUAAAAAUAAGAUGCAAAUGUUUGCAUCCGUGUGCAUUCUGUCUGCGUCCUUGAUGUCUAGAAUGCUGCUACAGAGUAGGGCUGUGCCCCAUGGUCUGUGCUUCUCUUCCUCAAGAGCUUCUGUGGUUCCGAAUGUGGACACAGGGUGGUGCCACGUGUCCACAGAGUCUGCCCCAGAACUUCCGGGUGGCCUCUGGGAAGGAUGGUGUGCACGGUGGCUGAUCUCCCUGCCCUGGGGGGCAGUAGGGACAGGUCUAGGUCCUAGAUCCAGCUCAGACCCGGAUCCACAGACAUGUGCUGAGGGUGAAGAAGGGUUCCAAGCAGGCUUCCCUCUGCCAAGCCCUGUGACAGGAGGGGACAGCUGCAGCUGCUUCCGUGAGCUAUAA
Molecule: long non-coding RNA, 1324 nt
Filed under: Bos indicus x Bos taurus (hybrid cattle)
Lineage: Eukaryota; Metazoa; Chordata; Mammalia; Artiodactyla; Bovidae
Description: lncRNA (ENSBIXG00000008756.1)
Source: RNAcentral